GUAUUGCUCUCUUUUCUGCUGCGCUGCUGGCCUAGUUGAACGUGUUAUUGUUUGUGUAGCUGCCCGGUUUUCCGCUUUGCUCUUCUAAGCUCGUCU
Molecule: long non-coding RNA, 96 nt
Organism: Drosophila montana
Lineage: Eukaryota; Metazoa; Arthropoda; Insecta; Diptera; Drosophilidae
Exons: 2
Source: RefSeq, a predicted model, not a curated record